AUUGAACGCUGGCGGCAUGCUUUACACAUGCCAGUCGAACGGCAGCGCGGGCUUCGGCCUGGCGGCGAGUGGCGAACGGGUGAGUAAUGCAUCGGAACGUUCCCAGUAGUGGGGGAUAGCCCGGCGAAAGCCGGAUUAAUACCGCAUACGACCUGAGGGUGAAAUCGGGGGACCGAAAGGCCUCGCGCUAUUGGAGUGGCCGAUGUCGGAUUAGCUAGUUGGUGGGGUAAAGGCUUACCAAGGCGACGAUCCGUAGCUGGUCUGAGAGGACGACCAGCCACAAUGGGACUGAGACACGGCCCAGACUCCUACGGGAGGCAGCAGUGGGGAAUGUUGGACAAUGGGGGCAACCCUGAUCCAGCCAUGCCGCGUGCGGGAAGAAGGCCUUCGGGUUGUAAACCGCUUUUGUUCGGGAAGAAAUCCUCUGGGCUAAUACCCCGGGGGGAUGACGGUACCGGAAGAAUAAGCACCGGCUAACUACGUG
Molecule: ribosomal RNA, 484 nt
Filed under: uncultured bacterium
Lineage: Bacteria
Description: partial 16S ribosomal RNA
Rfam family: Bacterial small subunit ribosomal RNA
Source: RNAcentral